UGAGAUGUGGUGUAAUGGUAGCACCAGGGAUUUUGGUUCCCUUAGUUAGAGUUCGAAUCUCUACAUCUCAA
RNAcentral lists this transfer RNA (71 nucleotides) under Bacteroidales bacterium. RNAcentral's name for it is "tRNA-Gln". It matches the Rfam family "tRNA". From Rfam's summary of the family: Transfer RNA (tRNA) molecules are approximately 80 nucleotides in length. Their secondary structure includes four short double-helical elements and three loops (D, anti-codon, and T loops). Further hydrogen bonds mediate the characteristic L-shaped molecular structure. tRNAs have two regions of fundamental functional importance: the anti-codon, which is responsible for specific mRNA codon recognition, and the 3' end, to which the tRNAs corresponding amino acid is attached (by aminoacyl-tRNA synthetases). tRNAs cope with the degeneracy of the genetic code in two manners: having more than one tRNA (with a specific anti-codon) for a particular amino acid; and 'wobble' base-pairing, i.e. permitting non-standard base-pairing at the 3rd anti-codon position. RNAcentral also lists the same sequence under 1 other name. The record is from RNAcentral. Lineage: Bacteria; Pseudomonadati; Bacteroidota; Bacteroidia; Bacteroidales.